GAGUUUGAUCCUGGCUCAGUUCAGAUCGUAGGCUGCAACUCGCCUACGUGAAGGAGGAAUCGCUAGUAAUCGCAGGUCAGCAUACUGCGGUGAAUACGUUCCCGGGCCUUGUACACACCGCCCGUCACACCAUGGAAGUUGGCCACGCCCGAAGCCGUUACUCCAACCCUUGUGGAGGAGGACGUCGAAGGUGGGGCUGAUGACUGGGGUGAAGUCGUAACAAGGUAGCCGUA
Molecule: ribosomal RNA, 233 nt
Filed under: uncultured bacterium
Lineage: Bacteria
Description: partial 16S ribosomal RNA
Rfam family: Bacterial small subunit ribosomal RNA
Source: RNAcentral